RNAcentral lists this unclassified non-coding RNA (263 nucleotides) under Hevea brasiliensis (rubber tree). The record is from RNAcentral. Lineage: Eukaryota; Viridiplantae; Streptophyta; Magnoliopsida; Malpighiales; Euphorbiaceae.
GUGCUGACAUCGUUGCAAUAGCUGCUCGCGAUGCAUCUGCUGCCGUUGCAGGACCAUCAUGGACAGUGAAGCUUGGAAGAAGAGACUCCCUCACUGCAAGCAGAGACCUAGCUGAUCAGAACCUUCCUCGCUUUACAAAUACUCUCAGCGAACUCACUUCCUUGUUCAGUAGCAAGAAUCUAAAUCAAAGAGAUUUGGUUGCCCUUUCAGGAUCACAUACAAUUGGCCAAGCAAGAUGUUUCAGCUUCCGUGCAAGAGUUAAC